UUUUCUUAUUUUAGGAUUCCUAAUUCUAGUACCAAUAAGACUAGUUACACUAUAUAUACCUAUGUUAUGUAGGUAUUUUUGUAGAGAACUCAUUAUGAUUAUUAUUAACAAUGGAGAAUUAAUAAAAUUUGAGAGUUUGUUUCUUGUUCCCUUUUGAGUGUUCUAGUGGUUCUACAUCACAAUGGGAAUAAGAAGAAUUGAG
RNAcentral lists this unclassified non-coding RNA (202 nucleotides) under Hevea brasiliensis (rubber tree). Lineage: Eukaryota; Viridiplantae; Streptophyta; Magnoliopsida; Malpighiales; Euphorbiaceae. The record is from RNAcentral.